This 163-nucleotide small nuclear RNA is filed under the name Penaeus chinensis. Its description in RNAcentral is "U1 spliceosomal RNA". It matches the Rfam family "U1 spliceosomal RNA". Rfam says of the family: U1 is a small nuclear RNA (snRNA) component of the spliceosome (involved in pre-mRNA splicing). Its 5' end forms complementary base pairs with the 5' splice junction, thus defining the 5' donor site of an intron. There are significant differences in sequence and secondary structure between metazoan and yeast U1 snRNAs, the latter being much longer (568 nucleotides as compared to 164 nucleotides in human). Lineage: Eukaryota; Metazoa; Arthropoda; Malacostraca; Decapoda; Penaeidae. The record is from RNAcentral.
AUACUUACCUGGCACAGGAGAUACCGUGAUCACGAAGGCGGUUUUCCCAGGGCGAGGCUCACCAUUGCACUCCGGUGGCGCUGACCCCUGCGAUUAACCCAAAUGUGGUUAACUCGAGUGCGCAAUUUUUGGUAGCGGGGGACUGCGUUCGCGCUAUCCCCCU